RNAcentral lists this ribosomal RNA (412 nucleotides) under uncultured Lactobacillus sp. Its description in RNAcentral is "bacterial SSU rRNA". It matches the Rfam family "Bacterial small subunit ribosomal RNA", at positions 138 to 526 of the family's 1533-position model. Lineage: Bacteria; Bacillati; Bacillota; Bacilli; Lactobacillales; Lactobacillaceae. The record is from RNAcentral.
UGGGGAUACCACUUGGGAAACAGGUGCUAAUACCGGAUAAGAAAGCAGAUCGCAUGAUCAGCUUUUAAAAGGCGGCGUAAAGCUGUCGCUAUGGGGAUGGCCCCCGCGGUGCAUUAGCUAGUUGGUAAGGUAAAGGCUUACCAAGGCGAUGAUGCAUAGCCCGAGUUGAGAGACUGAUCGGCCACAUUGGGGACUGAGACACGGCCCAAAAACUCCUACGGGGAGGCAGCAGUAGGGAAUCUUCCACAAUGGACGCAAGUCUGAUGGAGCAACGCCGCGUGAGUGAAGAAGGUUUUCGGAUCGUAAAAGCUCUGUUGUUGGUGAAGAAGGAUAGAGGUAGUAACUGGCCUUUAUUUGACGGUAAUCAACCAGAAAGUCACGGCUAACUACGUGCCAGCAGCCGCGGGUAAAU